Long non-coding RNA from Physella acuta, 265 nucleotides. RefSeq lists it as uncharacterized. The record is from RefSeq and is a predicted model, not a curated record. NCBI's taxonomy places the organism in Eukaryota, Metazoa, Mollusca, Gastropoda, Physidae.
CUGGAUCCUACGCGACCCCGAUCCUGGGGCCUGGUUACAAGGGACCUGGCAAGAGAAAACCCACAUCGAUGGCAGAUGAGGACAGUCAGACGGACGAUGAGCAACUGUACCCGCCACUCAAGCCCAAGCUGACCAACGAGCAGCUCAUGUCCAUCAUGCGGCCACCCCCGCUGACCGAGUACCGCUCGUUUGGUGGGCGGCACCUCAUCACAGAAUUUGCUAGAGCACCACCUAGAGACAUUGAGGAAAACAAAGAGGAACCAGC